AGUGAACGCUGGCGGUAGGCCUAACACAUGCAAGUCGAACGGCAGCACAGUAAGAGCUUGCUCUUACGGGUGGCGAGUGGCGGACGGGUGAGGAAUACAUCGGAAUCUACUUUUUCGUGGGGGAUAACGUAGGGAAACUUACGCUAAUACCGCAUACGACCUACGGGUGAAAGCAGGGGAUCUUCGGACCUUGCGCGAUUGAAUGAGCCGAUGUCGGAUUAGCUAGUUGGCGGGGUAAAGGCCCACCAAGGCGACGAUCCGUAGCUGGUCUGAGAGGAUGAAGCGCAACCGGGGAAGUGAGACGGGUCCGAGACACCUGGGGGGGGCGCAGGGGGGGAAUAUUGGGCGAGGGAGGAAGGCGUAAUCCCGCAAUACGGGGGGGAUGAAGAGGCCCUUCGGUUUGGAAAGCUUUUUUGUUGGGAAAAAAGAAAAGCGGGUGAAACCCCGCAUUUUAGGACGGUACCGAAAGAAUAAGCCCCGGCUAACUCCGUG
This 492-nucleotide ribosomal RNA is filed under the name uncultured bacterium. RNAcentral describes it as "partial 16S ribosomal RNA". It matches the Rfam family "Bacterial small subunit ribosomal RNA", at positions 30 to 507 of the family's 1533-position model. The record is from RNAcentral.